This 75-nucleotide transfer RNA is filed under the name Caudoviricetes sp. RNAcentral's name for it is "tRNA-Gly". It matches the Rfam family "tRNA". Rfam says of the family: Transfer RNA (tRNA) molecules are approximately 80 nucleotides in length. Their secondary structure includes four short double-helical elements and three loops (D, anti-codon, and T loops). Further hydrogen bonds mediate the characteristic L-shaped molecular structure. tRNAs have two regions of fundamental functional importance: the anti-codon, which is responsible for specific mRNA codon recognition, and the 3' end, to which the tRNAs corresponding amino acid is attached (by aminoacyl-tRNA synthetases). tRNAs cope with the degeneracy of the genetic code in two manners: having more than one tRNA (with a specific anti-codon) for a particular amino acid; and 'wobble' base-pairing, i.e. permitting non-standard base-pairing at the 3rd anti-codon position. Lineage: Duplodnaviria; Heunggongvirae; Uroviricota; Caudoviricetes. The record is from RNAcentral.
GUAGGUGUAGCACAAUGGUUCAGUGCUCCAGCCUUCCAAGCUGGAGAUGAGGGUUCGAUUCCCUUCACCUACUCA